AUUGAACGCUGGCGGCAUGCCUUACACAUGCAAGUCGAACGGUAACAGGUCUUCGGAUGCUGCCGAGUGGCGAACGGGUGAGUAAUACAUCGGAACGUGCCCGAUCGUGGGGGAUAACGGAGCGAAAGCUUUGCUAAUACCGCAUACGAUCUACGGAUGAAAGCAGGGGACCGCAAGGCCUUGCGCGGACGGAGCGGCCGAUGGCAGAUUAGGUAGUUGGUGGGAUAAAAGCUUACCAAGCCGACGAUCUGUAGCUGGUCUGAGAGGACGACCAGCCACACUGGGACUGAGACACGGCCCAGACUCCUACGGGAGGCAGCAGUGGGGAAUUUUGGACAAUGGGCGAAAGCCUGAUCCAGCCAUGCCGCGUGCAGGAUGAAGGCCUUCGGGUUGUAAACUGCUUUUGUACGGAACGAAAAGACUCUUUCUAAUAAAGAGGGUCCAUGACGGUACCGUAAGAAUAAGUACCGGCUAACUACGUG
Molecule: ribosomal RNA, 482 nt
Filed under: uncultured bacterium
Lineage: Bacteria
Description: partial 16S ribosomal RNA
Rfam family: Bacterial small subunit ribosomal RNA
Source: RNAcentral